GGUGGCUCAGUGGUAGAGUGCUUGCUUUGCAUGCAUGAGGCCUUGGGUUCGAUUCCUCAGCACCA
Molecule: non-coding RNA, 65 nt
Organism: Dipodomys ordii (Ord's kangaroo rat)
Lineage: Eukaryota; Metazoa; Chordata; Mammalia; Rodentia; Heteromyidae
Source: Rfam